RNAcentral lists this ribosomal RNA (354 nucleotides) under Anthracocentrus rugiceps. RNAcentral's name for it is "SSU rRNA". It matches the Rfam family "Eukaryotic small subunit ribosomal RNA", at positions 1172 to 1489 of the family's 1831-position model. RNAcentral also lists the same sequence under 1 other name. The record is from RNAcentral. Lineage: Eukaryota; Metazoa; Arthropoda; Insecta; Coleoptera; Cerambycidae.
AGGAGUGGAGCCUGCGGCUUAAUUUGACUCAACACGGGAAACCUCACCAGGCCCGGACACCGGAAGGAUUGACAGAUUGAGAGCUCUUUCUUGAUUCGGUGGGUGGUGGUGCAUGGCCGUUCUUAGUUGGUGGAGCGAUUUGUCUGGUUAAUUCCGAUAACGAACGAGACUCUAGCCUGCUAACUAGGCGUAUUUCGACAUCCCAAAGGCCCGCCGGUUUGGGGUUUCGACUCCUAUCCGCGCGCGGUUUUUACUGUCGGCGUACAAACAAUUCUUCUUAGAGGGACAGGCGGCUUCUAGCCGCACGAGAUUGAGCAAUAACAGGUCUGUGAUGCCCUUAGAUGUUCUGGGCCG